GACGAACGCUGGCGGCGUGCUUAACACAUGCAAGUCGAACGCUGAAGCUUGGUGCUUGCACUGGGUGGAUGAGUGGCGAACGGGUGAGUAAUACGUGAGUAACCUGCCCUUGACUCUGGGAUAAGCCUGGGAAACUGGGUCUAAUACUGGAUACGACAUGUCACCGCAUGGUGGUGUGUGGAAAGGGUUUUACUGGUUUUGGAUGGGCCCACGGCCUAUCAGCUUGUUGGUGGGGUAAUGGCUCACCAAGGCGACGACGGGUAGCCGGCCUGAGAGGGUGACCGGCCACACUGGGACUGAGACACGGCCCAGACUCCUACGGGAGGCAGCAGUGGGGAAUAUUGCACAAUGGGCGGAAGCCUGAUGCAGCGACGCCGCGUGAGGGAUGACGGCCUUCGGGUUGUAAACCUCUUUCAGCACGGAAGAAGCGAAAGUGACGGUACGUGCAGAAGAAGCGCCGGCUAACUACGUG
This 472-nucleotide ribosomal RNA is filed under the name uncultured bacterium. RNAcentral describes it as "partial 16S ribosomal RNA". It matches the Rfam family "Bacterial small subunit ribosomal RNA", at positions 28 to 507 of the family's 1533-position model. The record is from RNAcentral.